UUCCAGCUCCAAUAGCGUAUAUUAAAGUUGUUGCAGUUAAAAAGCUCGUAGUUGGAUUUCUGGCAGGAGCGACCGGUCACACACUCUGUGUGCAAACUUGCGCUGUCUCUGGCCAUCCUCGGGGAGAUCCUGUUUGGCAUUAAGUUGUUGGGCAGGGGAUACCCGUCGUUCACUGUGAAAAAUUAGAGUGUUUAAAGUAGGCUUAUGCCGUUGAAUAUAUUACUUUGGAACUAUUUUGUUGGUUUGCGUUACGAGUAAUGAUUAAUAGGGUCAGUUGGGGGUAUUCGUAUUCCGUUGUCAGAGGUGAAAUUCUUGGAUUUACGGAAGACGAACAACUGCGAAAGCAUUUACCAAGGAUGUUUUCAUCA
Molecule: ribosomal RNA, 368 nt
Filed under: Bacillariophyta sp.
Lineage: Eukaryota; Bacillariophyta
Description: partial small subunit ribosomal RNA
Rfam family: Eukaryotic small subunit ribosomal RNA
Source: RNAcentral